Molecule: transfer RNA, 69 nt
Filed under: Urocitellus parryii (Arctic ground squirrel)
Lineage: Eukaryota; Metazoa; Chordata; Mammalia; Rodentia; Sciuridae
Also listed under: 1 other name
Description: Spermophilus parryii (Arctic ground squirrel) tRNA
Rfam family: tRNA
About the family: Transfer RNA (tRNA) molecules are approximately 80 nucleotides in length.
Source: Rfam by way of RNAcentral
GGGGAUAUAGCUCAGUUGGUAGAGUGCUUGCUUCGCAUGCACAAGGCCCUGGGUUCAAUCCCAGCACCA